RNAcentral lists this ribosomal RNA (813 nucleotides) under Triticum aestivum (bread wheat). RNAcentral describes it as "partial small subunit ribosomal RNA". The record is from RNAcentral. Lineage: Eukaryota; Viridiplantae; Streptophyta; Magnoliopsida; Poales; Poaceae.
AUGCAGCUCUGGUCGCUGGAGGGGGCGGUGAAAAUCAUCGGCAAUAAGUGCAUCGUCGAUCGCCUCGACACCCGCACCCACGAGCGCGGCCACACCAAGACUUUUGCCUGCUGGGUGUGGGUCUGGGAUGUCGCCAACAUCCCCACAAGGCACAUCAUUUGGCGGGUGAAGCGCGGGGCGGCACGCGUCGAGGCCAUGCUCGGUCACUCGCCGCCCAGCCAUGAGGUCGCCCCACCACCUGGAGUCAGAAGGCACGACAUGUUGGUCCACGUCGAGAGGGUGGAGGACUGGACUUUGCCGUCCCCGCGCCCCUCUCGCUCCACCCAAAGUGGACUCCCCUCCUCGGGCUCAGAUGAUGGCGCCCCAUUCCCGGCCAUCUACCCGGGCACCUGGACCCGGAAGGUGGAUGAUGGGCAGGGCCACGCCAGGAGGCAGCCCCCGGCGGUCAACCCCUCCGGCUGCCAGGGCCUGCAGUUGGGGGGCGCCUGCCGCGACCAAGACGACCCCGACGGUGAUGACCACGGCGACCGUUGCUCAUGGAAGGAUAUGCUGCUGGGCCGGGGCCACGCCAGCCGCCCGCCAACAGUGUCGAAGGAGAAGACGCAGCGCAGCACCGCAAACGCAGCAGAACCCCAACCAGCAGACACCGGGACAAGGGUUGUCACGGCCGUGACGCAACCAUCCGCGUCACCCCUCCUCUUCUGUUGCAUCGCGCACCGUCUUCGACUCCUCCGCCGCCGCCACCACCGCCACCCUUGGGGGCCCGACGCGUCCAAGACCCGAUCGCGGAUUUCUUCAGGACAAAUUCGAUGA